Molecule: RNA transcript, 747 nt
Organism: Cebus imitator (Panamanian white-faced capuchin)
Lineage: Eukaryota; Metazoa; Chordata; Mammalia; Primates; Cebidae
Gene name: proteasome subunit beta type-3-like
Exons: 1
Source: RefSeq, a predicted model, not a curated record
AGAAAUAAUGGGUAGGUGUGAAGGCUAGACCCAGUUUACUGGAAUUGCUCUGGCAAUGGAGGGGUCCUUGUACACCACAGUCAUGUCUAUUAUGUCCUAUAAUGGAGGAGCCAUCAUGGCCAUGAAGGGGAAGGACUGUGUGGCCAUCGCUGCAGACAGGCACUUUGGGAUCCAGGCCCGGAUGGUGACCACAGACUUCCAGAUCUUUCCCAUGGGUGAUGGGUUGUAAUUGGUCUGGCCGGGCUCGCUACUGAUGUCCAGAUAGUUGCCCAGUGCCUCAAGUUCUAGCUGAACCUGUAUGAGCUGAAGGAAGCUCAGUAGAUCAGAUCUUAUACCCUCAUGAGCCCGGUGGCCAAUCUCUUGUAUGAGAAACAUUUUGGCCCCUACUACACUGAGCCAGUCAUUGCUGGGUUGGACCCAAAGACCCGUAAGCCCUUCAGUUGCUCUCUAGACCUCAUCGGCUGCCCCAUGGUGACUGAUGAUUUUGUGGUCAAUGGUACCUAUGCCAAACAAAUGUACGGAAUGUGUAAGUCCCUCUGGGAGCCCAAUAUGGAUCCAGAACACCUGUUUGAAACCAUCUCCCAUGCCAUGCUCAAUGCUGUAGACUGGGAUGCAGUGUCAGGCAUGGGGGCCAUUGUCCACAUCACCGAGAAGGACAAAAUCACCACCAGGACACUGAAGGCCCAAAUGGACUAACCCUGCUCCCAGAGCCCACUUUUUUUUUUUUUUAAAUAAAAUAGCCUUUUU